GCAAACUUGGUCAUUUAGAGGAAGUAAAAGUCGUAACAAGGUCUCCGUUGGUGAACCAGCGGAGGGAUCAUUACCGAGUUUACAACUCCCAAACCCUUUGUGAACAUUACCUGUCGUUGCUUCGGCGGUACCGCCCCGGCGCCCUCGGGCCCGGAAGCAGGCGCCCGCCGGGGGACCCACACCAAACUCUUUGACGAUUCCCGGGGACCCACCCGGCGGCAUUAUCUGAGUACAGCGAAUCAAAAACGCAUCAAAACUUUCAACAACGGAUCUCUUGGUUCUGGCAUCGAUGAAGAACGCAGC
Molecule: unclassified non-coding RNA, 303 nt
Filed under: uncultured fungus
Lineage: Eukaryota; Fungi
Description: partial contains small subunit ribosomal RNA, internal transcribed spacer 1, and 5.8S ribosomal RNA
Rfam family: Eukaryotic small subunit ribosomal RNA (bases 1-73)
Source: RNAcentral